RNAcentral lists this ribosomal RNA (858 nucleotides) under uncultured bacterium. Its description in RNAcentral is "bacterial SSU rRNA". It matches the Rfam family "Bacterial small subunit ribosomal RNA", at positions 21 to 898 of the family's 1533-position model. The record is from RNAcentral.
GGCUCAGGACGAACGCUGGCGGCGUGCUUAACACAUGCAAGUCGAGCGACGCACUCCUUCGGGGGUGACGGAGCGGCGAACGGGUGAGUAACACGUGGGCAACCUGCCCUCAGCUCUGGGAUAACUCCGGGAAACCAGGGCUAAUACCGGAUAUGACAUCGGAUCGCAUGGUCUGGUGUGGAAAGUUCUUCGGCUGAGGAUGGGCCCGCGGCCUAUCAGCUUGUUGGUGGGGUGACGGCCUACCAAGGCGACGACGGGUAGCCGGCCUGAGAGGGCGACCGGCCACACUGGGACUGAGACACGGCCCAGACUCCUACGGGAGGCAGCAGUGGGGAAUAUUGCGCAAUGGGCGUAAGCCUGACGCAGCGACGCCGCGUGGGGGAUGAAGGCCUUCGGGUUGUAAACCUCUUUCAGCAGGGACGAAUUCAGACGGUACCUGCAGAAGAAGCACCGGCCAACUACGUGCCAGCAGCCGCGGUAAUACGUAGGGUGCAAGCGUUGUCCGGAAUUAUUGGGCGUAAAGAGCUCGUAGGCGGUCUGUCGCGUCGGCUGUGAAAACUUGGGGCUCAACCCCAAGCCUGCAGUCGAUACGGGCAGACUAGAGUGCGGUAGGGGAGACUGGAAUUCCUGGUGUAGCGGUGAAAUGCGCAGAUAUCAGGAGGAACACCGGUGGCGAAGGCGGGUCUCUGGGCCGUAACUGACGCUGAGGAGCGAAAGCGUGGGGAGCGAACAGGAUUAGAUACCCUGGUAGUCCACGCCGUAAACGGUGGGUGCUAGGUGUGAGCGGUAUUCCACGCCGUUCGUGCCGCAGCUAACGCAUUAAGCACCCCGCCUGGGGAGUACGGCCCGCAGGCUAAA